This 375-nucleotide ribosomal RNA is filed under the name uncultured organism. RNAcentral describes it as "partial 16S ribosomal RNA". It matches the Rfam family "Bacterial small subunit ribosomal RNA", at positions 527 to 896 of the family's 1533-position model. The record is from RNAcentral.
GUAGGUGGCAAGCGUUGUCCGGAAUUAUUGGGGCGUAAAGCGCGCGCAGGCGGUUCUUUAAGUCUGAUGUGAAAGCCCACGGGCUCAACCGUGGAGGGUCAUUGGAAACUGGAGAACUUGAGUACAGAAGAGGAAAGCGGAAUUCCACGUGUAGCGGUGAAAUGCGUAGAGAUGUGGAGGAACACCAGUGGCGAAGGCGGCUUUCUGGUCUGUAACUGACGCUGAGGCGCGAAAGCGUGGGGAGCAAACAGGAUUAGAUACCCUGGUAGUCCACGCCGUAAACGAUGAGUGCUAAGUGUUAGGGGGUUUCCGGCCCCUUAGUGCUGCAGCUAACGCAUUAAGCACUCCGCCUGGGGAGUACGGCCGCAAAGGCUG